GACGAACGCUGGCGGCGUGCUUAACACAUGCAAGUCGAACGGAAAGGCCCUGCUUUUGUGGGGUGCUCGAGUGGCGAACGGGUGAGUAACACGUGAGUAACCUGCCCUUGACUUUGGGAUAACUUCAGGAAACUGGGGCUAAUACCGGAUAGGAGCUCCUGCUGCAUGGUGGGGGUUGGAAAGUUUCGGCGGUUGGGGAUGGACUCGCGGCUUAUCGGCUUGUUGGUGGGGUAGUGGCUUACCAAGGCUUUGCCGGGUAGCCGGCCUGAGAGGGUGACCGGCCACAUUGGGACUGAGAUACGGCCCAGCCUCCUACGGGAGGCAGCAGUGGGGAAUAUUGCACAAUGGGCGGAAGCCUGACGCAGCAACGCCGCGUGCGGGAUGACGGCCUUCGGGUUGUAAUCCGCUUUCGCCUGUGACGAAGCGUGAGUGACGGUAAUGGGUAAAGAAGCACCGGCUAACUCCGUG
RNAcentral lists this ribosomal RNA (468 nucleotides) under uncultured bacterium. RNAcentral describes it as "partial 16S ribosomal RNA". It matches the Rfam family "Bacterial small subunit ribosomal RNA", at positions 28 to 507 of the family's 1533-position model. The record is from RNAcentral.